UACAGCAUAUCCUGUCGACGCGAUUGCAGUGGUUCGAUUCAGAGUGCCUCUAGUUGAGAAUUGACCACAGUGAACAGGCUUUGUGGUUUGUGCCUGCGAGGUGACAACGAACUACUAAAGAAAAUGUCCGAUUGUCGUCUUUUGCUCGUAGCGUUGCUAGCAAAAGUGUUUUUCAAACAUAGUACGAAGGCUGAUCAGGUCGACAGCGAAGCCUGUCUCGUGGAUUCACUCUAUAGAAUGGUAUCUGAAUUGAACGUGACGAUGCAGGAAAUAAAGUCGGAAGUCACUAAUUUGAAAAGUGAAUUGGAGU
This is a long non-coding RNA of Corticium candelabrum, 310 nucleotides long. RefSeq lists it as uncharacterized. The transcript is spliced from 4 exons. NCBI's taxonomy places the organism in Eukaryota, Metazoa, Porifera, Homoscleromorpha, Homosclerophorida, Plakinidae. The record is from RefSeq and is a predicted model, not a curated record.